AACGAACGCUGGCGGCAUGCCUAACACAUGCCAGUCGAACGAGACCUUCGGGUCUAGUGGCGCACGGGUGCGUAACGCGUGGGAACCUGCCCUUAGGUUCGGAAUAACUCCCCGAAAGGGGUGCUAAUACCGGAUAAUGUCUUCGGACCAAAGAUUUAUCGCCUUUGGAUGGGCCCGCGUUGGAUUAGCUAGUUGGUAGGGUAAAAGCCUACCAAGGCGACGAUCCAUAGCUGGUCUGAGAGGAUGAUCAGCCACACUGGGACUGAGACACGGCCCAGACUCCUACGGGAGGCAGCAGUGGGGAAUAUUGGACAAUGGGCGAAAGCCUGAUCCAGCAAUGCCGCGUGAGUGAUGAAGGCCUUAGGGUUGUAAAGCUCUUUUACCCGGGAUGACAAUGACAGUACCGGGAGAAUAAGCGCCGGCUAACUCCGUG
RNAcentral lists this ribosomal RNA (433 nucleotides) under uncultured bacterium. Its description in RNAcentral is "partial 16S ribosomal RNA". It matches the Rfam family "Bacterial small subunit ribosomal RNA", at positions 29 to 507 of the family's 1533-position model. The record is from RNAcentral.